Camelina sativa (false flax) is the source of this 1735-nucleotide non-coding RNA. Lineage: Eukaryota; Viridiplantae; Streptophyta; Magnoliopsida; Brassicales; Brassicaceae. The record is from RefSeq and is a predicted model, not a curated record.
ACAUACGUAUUAGAAAAAAAAACAUGUACCUCUCUACUUUGAGGUUAACAUCAAAACCCAUAAGACAAUUUUCAUCAAUGUCGUCUGUUAAGCUGCAGUUGCAUGAUAAGGGCAAUCAUGUGGUGAUGGAUAAUGGCAUUGCACGGGUAACAUUAUCAAAGCCUGAUGGUAUCGUUACCGGAAUCGAAUAUAAUGGCAUUGAUAACUUGCUCGAGGUUCUUAAUGAAGAAGUCAACAGAGGGUAUUGGGAUCUCGUAUGGGGAGGAUCCGGAACAGCUGGUGGAUUUGAUGUAAUCAAAGGAACAAACUUUGAGGUAAUAAUGAAAAACGAAGAACAAAUUGAGCUUUCUUUCACAAGAAAAUGGGAUCCAUCACUAGAAGGCAAAGCAGUCCCUCUGAACAUUGACAAAAGGUUGACGAUAAGUACCAUUCAUGUGAGAACAAAGACAUUACUGUCCAUGGAUGGAUAUGCACAGAGCAGCCGUCGGUUGGUUUCUGGCUCAUAACUCCUAGCCAUGAGUAUCGAACCGGUGGACCUCAAAAACAGAACUUGACAUCUCACGUUGGACCUACUGCUCUUGCUGAUUAAUAUAAAAAUGUUUUCCUUUAAAACAGUUAGAAAUGUAGACAAGAAGUUUAACGCUGGAUCCUCAGGUAAUUUAUGAGUGCACACUACACAGGGGACGAUCUAGUGCCAAAGUUUAGUGAAGGAGAGGCAUGGAAGAAGGUCUUUGGCUCUGGCAAGAUGCUAAAUCUAUUUAAACUCGUCUACUGAUGAUUAUGAAUGUGGAAACUGAAAGCUGUGGCCUUACAGUUUUCCAGCUUCAGAUGACUAUGUGAAAGCAGAUCAACGUGGUAAUGUUGUUGGCAGACUUCUCGUUCAAGACAGCCAUCGGUGGUGCCAUAAAUUCUAAAAUCUUCGUCUAAUCCGUCUAACUCUGCCGGAUCUAGUUUCGUAGUAUCCAUACCCGACACCACUUGUCUUCCCCAAAACAGCGAAGAAAAUCUUUCUGGUGGCACCUCUAGCAGUGGUGACUUGGACUUACUAGAUGCCGAUAUUAGUAAGGGAGAUCUUACGGACGCUGUCGGACGGAGGUCUCCUAACGCAGCAGGCCCAUCUGGGAGCGGUGAUCCAUUGAUGGACCAGGAUCUGCAUUCGAUGUACAAGUCCAUCAAGGUUUUGUCCAUUUAGUUGGGUUUAUUGAGAAACGAUAAAGAUUAAUGGCGACAAACACUUCAAAUUUUUUUUUUCUCUCUCACUUCUCCCACGUGCAACAUUUCUCCUUUACUAAGACAAGGAUGCAUAUACAGACCUUAUUGUGUCUCCGGUGGACCAAAUUCAAUGCUUGGACAGGUCUGUCCAUGCCCACGCUAAUCAUACAAUCGACAAGUGGAUAGACAAAUGUCGGUAGACCAGAUCCGAAUCAUGUCUUCUAAAUCUGGUCCAUCAAGUAAUAUCUAGCUUUACUUCCAAUGAUGGCUUCUUGGAUUCCAACACUUGUGUCCACCAGCUGAGCCCGUAGAUCUGAGUAACAGAGAAAAAAAACUAAUCAGAUCUGAAAAUUGAUAUCUUCAAAUAGAUAAAAUUGAUAGACGACUUAAUAGACAUAAAAAUUAGGUAAUGUCUCUUACCUUGUGUUGUCCAAUUCUGUGAAAAACAAUGUUGUAGAAACAAUAAAUGGAGAGAUUCGCUUGGAAUGUGAAAAGAUGAUUGAUUGCAGAGAAAUUGAAGGUU